Molecule: ribosomal RNA, 253 nt
Filed under: uncultured bacterium
Lineage: Bacteria
Description: partial 16S ribosomal RNA
Rfam family: Bacterial small subunit ribosomal RNA
Source: RNAcentral
UACGUAGGGCGCAAGCGUUAUCCGGAAUUAUUGGGCGUAAAGCGCACGUAGGCGGAUCUUUAAGUCAGGGGUGAAAUCCCGAGGCUCAACCUCGGAACUGCCUUUGAUACUGGGGAUCUCGAGUCCGGAAGAGGUUGGUGGAACUCCGAGUGUAGAGGUGAAAUUCGUAGAUAUUCGGAAGAACACCAGUGGCGAAGGCGGCCAACUGGUCCGGUACUGACGCUGAGGUGCGAAAGCGUGGGGAGCAAACAGG